Molecule: transfer RNA, 74 nt
Filed under: Nelumbo nucifera (sacred lotus)
Lineage: Eukaryota; Viridiplantae; Streptophyta; Magnoliopsida; Proteales; Nelumbonaceae
Rfam family: tRNA
About the family: Transfer RNA (tRNA) molecules are approximately 80 nucleotides in length. Their secondary structure includes four short double-helical elements and three loops (D, anti-codon, and T loops).
Source: Rfam by way of RNAcentral
GCUUUCAUAGCUUAGUUGGUUAGAGCACCACUUUAGUAAGUGGGAGGUCUUGAGUUCAAAUCUCAAUGAAAGCA